RNAcentral lists this transfer RNA (74 nucleotides) under Ostreobium quekettii. Its description in RNAcentral is "tRNA-Met". It matches the Rfam family "tRNA". From Rfam's summary of the family: Transfer RNA (tRNA) molecules are approximately 80 nucleotides in length. Lineage: Eukaryota; Viridiplantae; Chlorophyta; Ulvophyceae; Bryopsidales; Ostreobiaceae. RNAcentral also lists the same sequence under 2 other names. The record is from RNAcentral.
GCCUGUUUAGCUCAGCUGGUUAGAGCAUUCGUCUCAUACGCGAAAAGUCACCCGUUCGAAUCGGGUAGCAGGCA